ACCUGGCUGGCUCAGUCAGUAGAGCACAUGACUCUUGAUCUCGGGAUCAUGAGUUCAAGCCCCAUGUUGGAUA
Molecule: transfer RNA, 73 nt
Filed under: Ailuropoda melanoleuca (giant panda)
Lineage: Eukaryota; Metazoa; Chordata; Mammalia; Carnivora; Ursidae
Rfam family: tRNA
About the family: Transfer RNA (tRNA) molecules are approximately 80 nucleotides in length.
Source: Rfam by way of RNAcentral